Molecule: non-coding RNA, 117 nt
Filed under: Chlorocebus sabaeus (green monkey)
Lineage: Eukaryota; Metazoa; Chordata; Mammalia; Primates; Cercopithecidae
Source: Rfam by way of RNAcentral
GCCAGGUGUGGUGGCUCACGCCUGUAAUCCCAGCACUUUGGGAGGCCGAGGCGGGUGGAUCACCUGAGGUCAGGAGUUCCGCACCAGCCUGACCAACAUGGAGAAACCCUGUCUCUA